UGUGGUCAGGAUGGCGACAGAAACUAAUUAAGUGUCUGGAUGACCACUAACAAAAAUAAUGCAGGGAAAGCAGAAAAAAAAGAAGGAUACCGACCGGGAAAGUCGCAUAGCAAGUAAGGAUACUUGGAAUCAGAAUAGGGUGCAAAAUGCACCGUUU
This 157-nucleotide small RNA is filed under the name Shewanella oneidensis MR-1. The record is from RNAcentral. Lineage: Bacteria; Pseudomonadati; Pseudomonadota; Gammaproteobacteria; Alteromonadales; Shewanellaceae.